RNAcentral lists this ribosomal RNA (497 nucleotides) under uncultured bacterium. RNAcentral's name for it is "partial 16S ribosomal RNA". It matches the Rfam family "Bacterial small subunit ribosomal RNA", at positions 29 to 507 of the family's 1533-position model. The record is from RNAcentral.
AAUGAACGCUGGCGGUGUGCCUAACACAUGCAAGUCGAACGGCAGCACGGUAAGAUCGUGCCCUUACUGUUGGCGAGGGGCGGGCGAGUAACACAUGCAUCACAAACUUCUAUUUCUGGGGGGACAACGGGGGGAAAGUGACGCUAACACCGAAUAUUUUGUACCGGAUGAAUCAAGAGUUAAAGACACUCUUGCCGUCUGAAAUAGCUGAUGCCGCGCUGGAUUAGCUGGUUGGUAAGGUAACGGCUCACCAAGGCAACGAUGCAUAGCCGACCUGAGAGGGUGAUCAGCCACACUGGAACUGAGACACGGUCCAGACUCCUACGGGAGGCAGCAGUAGGGAAUCUUGGACAAUGGGCGAAAGCCUGACGGAGCCACGCCGCGUGGGUGAAGAAGGUCUUCGGGUUGUAAAGCUCUUUUGUUAGGGAAGAACAGAAGUAUGUUAAUCCGUGGACAUUUUGACGGUACCUAAACAGUAAGCCCCGGCUAACUACGUG